Long non-coding RNA from Thalassophryne amazonica, 269 nucleotides. RefSeq lists it as uncharacterized. The record is from RefSeq and is a predicted model, not a curated record. The transcript is spliced from 3 exons. Lineage: Eukaryota; Metazoa; Chordata; Actinopteri; Batrachoidiformes; Batrachoididae.
CAUAAUCUGUAGGCAGAAUAUACACACAAGCCAUCAACAAAACAUGCAACAUCCAAAACAUAAAGUCUCAGACAUUUAUUGUAUUUGAAGGGUUUUUUCUUCUUCGUUGUGUUGUUUCAGCUGUUUACAGGUCAUGAUUUCACAGAUAGUCAUUGGUCGACAGCACUUUUUUUUUUCAUUACACAGUCAACUCCUUGACUGCAGACACGCAUCUCUGUCCAGUUAUAUAAUUUAAUUUUUUAUUCUUUAUAUUUUUUAGAAACUCACAG